RNAcentral lists this ribosomal RNA (253 nucleotides) under uncultured bacterium. Its description in RNAcentral is "partial 16S ribosomal RNA". It matches the Rfam family "Bacterial small subunit ribosomal RNA", at positions 524 to 776 of the family's 1533-position model. The record is from RNAcentral.
UACGAAGGGGGCAAGCGUUGUUCGGAAUUACUGGGCGUAAAGGGCGCGUAGGCGGCUUAUCAAGUCAGGCGUGAAAUCCCCAGGCUUAACCUGGGAACUGCAUUCGAGACUGCAUUGCUAGAGUAUGGGAGAGGGAAGUGGAAUUUCCGGUGUAGCGGUGAAAUGCGUAGAUAUCGGAAGGAACAUCAGUGGCGAAAGCGACUUCCUGGACCAAUACUGACGCUCAUGUGCGAAAGCGUGGGGAGCAAACAGG